GUAGUCAACAUGCCCAGGGGACGUGGAUAACCUCGGGAAACUGAGGAUAAACCGCGAUAGGCCAUAAUGUCUGGAAUGAUUUAUGGCUCAAAUCUACAUGGCCCCUGGAUUGGACUGCGGCCGAUCAGGCUGUUGGUGAGGUAAUGGCCCACCAAACCUAAAACCGGUACGGGCUCUGAGAGGAGAAGCCCGGAGAUGGGCACUGAGACAAGGGCCCAGGCCCUAUGGGGCGCAGCAGGCGCGAAACCUCUGCAAUAAGCGAAAGCUUGACAGGGUUAUUCUGAGUGAUUUCCGCUAAGGAAGUCUUUUGGCACCUCUAAAAAUGGUGCAGAAUAAGGGGUGGGCAAGCCUGGUGUCAGCCGCCGCGGUAAUACCAGCACCCCGAGUGGUCGGGACGAUUAUUGGGCCUAAAGCAUCCGUAGCCGGUUCUACAAGUCUUCCGUUAAAUCCACCUGCUUAACAGUUGGGCUGCGGAGGAUACUAUAGAGCUAGGAGGCGGGAGAGGCAAGCAGUACUUAGUGGGUAGGGGUAAAAUCCGUUGAUCCACUGAAGACCACCAGUGGCGAAGGCGGCUUGCCAGAACGCGCUCGACGGUGAGGGAUGAAAGCUGGGGGAGCAAACCGGAUUAGAUACCCGGGUAGGCCCAGCUGUAAACGAUGCAGACUCGGUGAUGAAUAGGCUUCGUGCCUAUUCAGUGCCGCAGGGAAAGCCGUUAAGUCUGCCGCCUGGGGAGUACGGUCGCAAGACUGAAACUUAAAGGAAUUGGCGGGGGAG
RNAcentral lists this ribosomal RNA (774 nucleotides) under uncultured crenarchaeote. Its description in RNAcentral is "bacterial SSU rRNA". It matches the Rfam family "Archaeal small subunit ribosomal RNA", at positions 100 to 876 of the family's 1478-position model. The record is from RNAcentral. Lineage: Archaea; Thermoproteati; Thermoproteota.